RNAcentral lists this unclassified non-coding RNA (222 nucleotides) under Hevea brasiliensis (rubber tree). Lineage: Eukaryota; Viridiplantae; Streptophyta; Magnoliopsida; Malpighiales; Euphorbiaceae. The record is from RNAcentral.
CCCAUUGAGUUUCUCACCAUAGAAGUAAAAUGUGCAGCUCGCUCAUCCUGAAAACUUCCAGAUCCAAUAGAGGGAAGUACAGAGUUUACCAUUGAAUUCCCCAGAUAUGGCAUGCCAAGACUACAUGAUGAAUUCUUAUGGUACCCCUGAUUCAAAUUGCCAGACUUGACUAUUGCAGGCUCAUAUUGUUGGCUUUGUUGAGCAAGCAAUGCUUCAAGGUAU